UACGUAGGGGGCGAGCGUUGUCCGGAGUUACUGGGCGUAAAGCGCCCGCAGGCGGUCCGUCGCGUUCCGCGUGACAGCUCCCGGCUUCACUGGGAGAGGAUGGGGAAAACGAGCGGACUUGGAGGCUCAGAGAGGGACAUGGAAUUCCGGGGGGAGCGGUGAAAUGCGUAGAGUUCCGGAGGAACACCAAAGGCGAAGGCAGUGUCCUGGCUGAGACCUGACGCUCAGGGGCGAAAGCGAGGGGAGCGAACGGG
Molecule: ribosomal RNA, 254 nt
Filed under: uncultured bacterium
Lineage: Bacteria
Description: partial 16S ribosomal RNA
Rfam family: Bacterial small subunit ribosomal RNA
Source: RNAcentral